RNAcentral lists this ribosomal RNA (154 nucleotides) under fungal sp. mh1700.1. Its description in RNAcentral is "5.8S ribosomal RNA". It matches the Rfam family "5.8S ribosomal RNA". Rfam says of the family: 5.8S ribosomal RNA (5.8S rRNA) is a component of the large subunit of the eukaryotic ribosome. It is transcribed by RNA polymerase I as part of the 45S precursor that also contains 18S and 28S rRNA. RNAcentral also lists the same sequence under 1 other name. Lineage: Eukaryota; Fungi. The record is from RNAcentral.
AACUUUCAACAACGGAUCUCUUGGUUCCGGCAUCGAUGAAGAACGCAGCGAAAUGCGAUACGUAAUGUGAAUUGCAGAAUUCAGUGAAUCAUCGAGUCUUUGAACGCACAUUGCGCCCCCUGGUAUUCCGGGGGGCAUGCCUGUCCGAGCGUCA